AUGACCAGGGUGACCAUCACGCAGAACCUUCAGCUCGAGGGCUGCUCUUGCCUCCAAAGUCCCCAGUCCAUGCUGGAUUCUCCCUUUGAAAAAAAAAAUGUGUCGAGAAGAAAGAGGUGGGGAGGCACUCAGAUGCUGAGAAGUCUGUGUUGGGAGUCAGCCCCGUGGGCUGGAGCAGGCCCGGCCACCUUUGAAUCUCCGCAGCAGUGGCAACAGCAGCAGUACACAGUAACUGACACAUUUCUGGAAAAAUCAUUUGCCCAAAGGGCAGGUCUCGGUGAGCCGGAGCCUCACGUGUGCUCAGCUUCCUUGAAAUCAGCUCCAUUUCUGUGGUCUGGCUGCUUACAACAAAGACCCAAGUUAUUUUUAGAACUUCAGCUCCUGAAAAAAGCCCUCCAGAGGCCUGGAGGCUCCAGCCACUUGGGCCACCUCUGCCCGGCUGCGACCUUCUCGCCAGGAUUUGGCAAGAGCCCUCCUUCCUGGCUAAUUGCUCUUGGCCAGUGGACCCGGGGCAGCCUGGCGGGGAGCCAAGCUGUGUGGAUCUCUCCCCGGGUCCUUUGCAGGGUGACCUGUGGCCAGAGGCGGAGGUCAGUCCCCUGCAGGGGCCCGCGGCCUUGGAGGGAGUUCCACGGGUACAUAAUGAUCUCGUUUAAAGAGAUCGUAUGCAUAGAUUAUAUUAAUACCAAUGCAGGCUCCGCUUUCUCUGGAAAGCAAUUUCAGAGCCACUUCAUUCUCCACCUGCAUUUGGCUAACGGCCUGAUUAUAGCCACACUAAUAACCUUCCAACACUCUCAGGAGCUGUGUGGGCUCUGAAAGGUGCCGCCCCCUGCCUCCUUGCCCUAUUUCCUGCUUCUCUGGGAUGGCAGUGACAACAGCUGUUUAUUCCUCCCGGGGCCCGAGUUACUUGGAGGGGAGGCAGAUGGCUGUGGGCUCAUUCCUGAAGUGCACUUCUGGGGACCAUCAGCCCCGGCUCCCCGGCUGACAGCCCACACAGGGUUUUACAGGUCAGAGCCUGAGUGAUUCCCAUGAAUAUGGAUGCCGAGGGUGAGGCUGAUUGCCUCUGUCCUGCAGGGCAAAGCUGUC
Molecule: long non-coding RNA, 1083 nt
Filed under: Bos indicus x Bos taurus (hybrid cattle)
Lineage: Eukaryota; Metazoa; Chordata; Mammalia; Artiodactyla; Bovidae
Description: lncRNA (ENSBIXG00005027725.1)
Source: RNAcentral